GCCGGAGUAGCGUAGUGGUAGCGCAACCCCUUGGUAAGGGGUAGGUCGAGAGUUCGAUUCUCUCCUCCGGCACCA
Molecule: transfer RNA, 75 nt
Filed under: Rhizomicrobium palustre
Lineage: Bacteria; Pseudomonadati; Pseudomonadota; Alphaproteobacteria; Micropepsales; Micropepsaceae
Also listed under: 4 other names
Description: tRNA-Thr
Rfam family: tRNA
About the family: Transfer RNA (tRNA) molecules are approximately 80 nucleotides in length.
Source: RNAcentral